Molecule: long non-coding RNA, 3346 nt
Organism: Brassica napus (rape)
Lineage: Eukaryota; Viridiplantae; Streptophyta; Magnoliopsida; Brassicales; Brassicaceae
Exons: 2
Source: RefSeq, a predicted model, not a curated record
CACUCGUCAUGUGGAAGUGUUGUUAAAUGAUGAGGUCUUGAGUUCCAGUAACGCCAAACGCAUCAAUAAUCUAUAUGGAGAGUUUGUGAAGACUCACAUGUGAGGGGUUAGGGACGGUGCCCUGCAGGGCCAGCCAGGGAUCCACGGAACGGGUGGGGUCCACGGGAUAUGUUGUUACAAGUUUAUGGAUUCAAUUUACAAUGAAAAAUUAACCACUAUUACUAAUGAUUAGUCGAGUGAUUUAGAGUUUUCUCCCCUUCCCCUCCCCCCAAACCCCUCAAAACGUCAAGUGACUUUUGAGUAAAAAGAUUGCAAAUUGAAAUAAUUACACUUUAAGUCAGUUUUUAACUUUAAUAUAUCAUAAAAAGACACUUCUUGCUCCUAGAGCAGUUUUGCACAAAAAACAAGAAGAAACAACACAAAUGAACCAUACAAAAUUCCAAAAAUACCCUGUUGUUUUCUCAGUUAAUUUAACGUAACUUUAUCUUAAUUCUUAACCACAAAAUCCAAAAGACAUCGUUGACAAUAAGUCUCAUUCUCCCUUCUUCUUCAUUUUCUUUGUUCUCAAUUUUUUUUUUGUAAAAUAAAAUUCACUUCUCUAGAUUUGUUUUUUCCAAAAGCGUUAUAUUAAAUCAUUAUAUGAUCUGUUUUUUUAGAUAUAUUAAGUUGAUGGUCGAAUGGUAGUGUAAUGGUGACAUUGACAAAGGCGGAUACGUAGGCGUCAUCAACAUAGACGAUGGUAGAUACGUAGAAGACAGAGGAGACAUAGUAACGUUAGAGAUGUAGGUGCCAUCGACGUAUAUGACAGAGAUGGCGGCAAAGACAUAGACAAAGGAAAGUUGAGAGCAGAGAGAAAAAAAAUUGGAUACAGCUGAAACAGAAAAAAGUGAAUGGUUUGAAAGUUUGUUAAUUGUAGUCAUAGACUCGUGGGUCUAAACUAGACAUGUUCUAUUUGAGCCAUGUCUUCUUCUUAUUCUUCGGCUGCUUCGUCUUCGGCCUUUGGAUCAAGAAUGGAUGAGAGCAUGAAGAAAACGGUGACUGAGACACCGUCAUUGAUUACUUAAAAAAUUGGUGCUCGUAUGUUUCACUUCUCAUCAAUAUAUCUAAAAUUUUCAUUGUUUUGCGUAACCCUAUAAUGUGUUUGUUAAGUAUCCUUGUAAUCUUUGUUGUUAUAAGCUUAGUCUGGUUAAUUGAUUAACUUAUGAUAAUAUCAAAACUUCUCAUCUCCUAUGUGUCUUAUCUCCUUAUGUUGAUGAAGUGUAAUGGAUUUUGUCAAGCACUGAACAUAUACACAUGUAUGCUAUCACAUUUGUUGUCCACAUGGACGCUACACUUUUGUGUCCACAUGUACGCUUGAAUUAUGUGUCCACAUGGACGCUACAAUCUCAUGAAUAUAUCUAGAAUUGUCAUUGUUUUGUGUAAUUCUAAAUUGAGCUUGUUGUUAUACGCUUAGUUCGGUUAAUUGAUAAAAUUAUGAUAAUAUCUACACUUCUCGUCUCUUAUGUGUCUUAUCUCCUUAUGUUGAUGAAGUGUAAUGAAUUUUGUCAAGCACCAUGUACACAUGUAUGUUAUCACAAUUGUUGUACACAUGGAUGCUACAGUUAUUUGUGUACAUAUGUUUGUUUGUUAUCCACAUGUACACAAAAGUUAUAAGAUGUUAACUAUUAGUAAUGAAAAAUAAAUUCAUACAAUAUGUUUGUUGUUCAUAGUGGUGCAAUUUUACUGGAAAAUAAAUUCAUAUACUUUAAUCAUUUUACUGACAAUCUUGCUUUCUCUGAUUGUCCAAAUGUUUCUUAUUGGAUGUGUACAUCAAACUUAUAUUUUACAUGUGUACAUGAAACUCAUAUCGUACAUGUGUACAUGAAACUCAUAUCGUACAUGUGUACACAAAAGUCGUAUUGUACACAUGUACAUCAAACUCAUAUUGUAUACAUGUUGCUAAGUGUACACAUCGCUCUCUUGGACUGGCCCGAGAAAGAACUCCACCUCCAUAACAUGCUCUUGCUUCCACUGCCGUUGAGCUGAGGCGAGUUCGUCGUCAACAACCUCACACUCAACUUCCACACCUCAGCUACUAUUUUCAUCAGUGCUUUUAGGGAAAGGUCCGACGAGAUAUAAGGUCGGUGUAAGUGACAGAUGAGAAACCUCCACAUUAAAAUCAGCCGGAGACGAUGAUGUGUCCUCCGUAUAUUCUGUGAGGCGCUCGAUGUUGUUAAUUAUGCAAGGGAGAUGUUGUCGGCCUUUGUGGUCGAUGCCCCACCGUUGCAACAACCGCCAUCACAACCCAAUAAACAUCAUCUUCCACCACACCUUCUUCUCUCCUCUCAUUAUUAUAUGCAUUUCUUCUAUUUUUUCACUCUCAUAUUUUCUCUGUUAUCAUAUCUUCAACGAGAAUCCUAAAUCUCAGUCUCACGAUUAGAGAGAGAGAGAGAGAGAGAGAGAGAGAGAGAGAGAGAGAGAGAGAGAGAGAGAGAGAGAGAGAGAGAGAGAGAGAGAGAGAGAGAGAGAGAGAGAGAGAGAGAGAGUUGGAGUGAAGCUUAAUAAUAUCUUUUUUAUGUGUGGCUGAGACUAAAUCAAUCAAAUAAUUUGUUUUUUGUGUGACUGUGUUUAAAUGUAAUAAAUUAAUAAAGUAUGAUAUAGAUAUUUUGAAUUUAUAUUCAACACACGUGACAAAAAGAAAAAAAUGGUUUAGUUUGUUGAAAUUGAGGGUAAUUGUGUAAACAAUCAACAAGAAACUAUCAUAGUAGCUGUAACUGUCUUAGACUGUAAUAAAAAACAUAAAACUGACCAUGAGUGUAAAUCAUGCUUCAUUUUGGUCUCCGCUCACAAAGAGUUUCGAGCGGACGAUGACGCUGCUUCUUCUUGCUUCACGGCGACGGUUAUUAGAGACAUGCUGGUCAGAUUGCGGUGGUGACUUCAAGCCAAGUCUCUUGCUUCACUUUCGGUGGUGAAUGCGCGAGUGCACAUUUCGAGUUUCUUGGCGUCUUUACCCAGGUGAAGUCUCUCUCUCUCUUCUCUCGUCAAGUGAAGAUUACAAGCUUAGAUGAGUUUACCAGAAGCCAUAUACUCUGGAAGCGACACUUGAAGCCUCGAUAUCCAAGGAAAGGAGGUGAAUCUCACCUUUAUGUAGUGUCUGUCAAAGGUUGAGAACGGUAAAACGAUACUCGGUUUUAGUUUUGGUCUAGAGGAACGCGUCGGGUGAUAGGUUGAGCAAAGCUAGUUGGGAGUUUAAAAAAAGUUGGGUAAUUUGUUCGAAUCUGCUUGUAGUCUAAAACUUAAUCCCGUUUUCAUGUUGAAUUAAAAAAAAGUCGAAGAGAAUAAAUUAUACUGCUAAAAUAAAAAUCAA